This 1726-nucleotide ribosomal RNA is filed under the name uncultured eukaryote. RNAcentral's name for it is "SSU rRNA". It matches the Rfam family "Eukaryotic small subunit ribosomal RNA". The record is from RNAcentral.
AGUCAUAUGCUUGUCUAAAAGACUAAUCCAUGCAUGUCUAAGUUCAUGGGUAUGAAUCCCGAAACUGCGAAUGGCUCAUUAAAUCAGUCAUUAUUUAUUUGAACGUACUUUUAUUCGGAUAUCUGUAGUAAAUCUAGAGCUAACACGUGCGCUGAUCCCUAUCCAUUCGGAGGGACGUAUUUAUUUUUCAGGCCCGCCGGGAAUUCCAGGUUAAAGGUGACACAAAAUAACUUAAUAGAUCGCACACCUUUGUGGCGGCGACGUUUCAUUCAAAUUUCUGCCCUAUCAGCUGAAGAUGGUAGGAUAGGGGCCUACCAUGGUGUUAACGGGUAACGGGGAAUUAGGGUUCGAUUCCGGAGAGGUAGCCUGAGAGACGGCUACCACAUCCAAGGAAGGCAGCAGGCGCGAAAAUUACCCAAUCCUGACACAGGGAGGUAGUGACAAGAAAUAACAAAGCCGGGCCGUCCGGCAAGUGGAAUGAGCAGAACUUAAACUCCUCCGCAAGUAACGAUUGGAGGGAAAGCCUGGUGCCAGCAGCCGCGGUAAUACCAGCUCCAAUAGCGUAUAUUUAAGUUGUUGCAGUUAAAAAGCUCGUAGUUGAAUGUAGAAGCGACAACACCCGAUAACCUACAAGUUUCUAGCAAGUCGCUGUUUUGUCCUCAACUCUUUUGGCUUAACUGCCUUCUACUGGAGAGGACAUGUUAAUGUGAGUAAAGUAGAGUGUUUAAAGCAAGCGGUAGUUGCCUGAAUACGUUAGCAUAGAAUAGCACGAUAGCGCUCUGGCCUAUCCUGUCGGCCUUUGGGACCAGAGUACAGAUUAAGAGGAACAGUCGGGGGCAUACGUAUUCCAUAGGAAGAGGUGAAAUUCUUAGACCUUUGGAGGACGAGCAUCGGCGAAAGCAUUUGCCAAGGAUGUUUUCAUUAAUCAAGAGCGAAAGUUGGGGGAUCAAAGGCGAUUAGGUACCGUCCUAGUCCCAACCAUAAACGAUGCCGACCACAGAUCGGCGGGAGUUCGCCUCCAUGGCCCCGUCGGAACCUUGCGAGAAAUCAAAGUCUUUGGGUUCCGGGGGGAGUAUGGUUGCAAGGCUGAAACUUAAAGAAAUUGACGGGGGGGUACCUCAAGGCGUGGAGGCUGCGGCUUAAUUUGACUCAACAUGGGGAAACUUACCAGGUCCGGACAUAGGGAGGAUCGAAAGAUUGAUAGCUCUUUCACGAUUCUAUGGGUGGUGGUGCAUGGCCGUUCUUAGUUGGUGGGUUGUCCUGUCAGGUUUAUUCCGGUAACGAGCGAGAUCUCGCCUCCUAAUUAACUGCACUGAUUUAAUAGUUAUAGCUUUCUUAUAGGGACUGUUGCCUUGGAGGCACCGGAAGCAGAAGGCAAAAACAGGUCUGUGAUGCCCUUAGAUGUUCUGGGCCGCACGCGCGCUACAUUGAUGCAAACAACAUGUCCAACCUGUCGUGAAAGAGGCUGGGAAUCGAACAAAUUGCAUCGUAACGGGGAUAGAUCCUUGUAAUUCUUGAUCUUCAACGAGGAAUGCCUUGUAUGCGCGAGUCAUAAACUUGCGCUGAUUACGUCCCUGCCCUUUGUACACACCGCCCGUCGCUCCUACCGAUUGGUUGCGCUGUUGAGACGUUUGGAUGGACCUCUCGGGUGGAUACAUUCUAGAAAGGCACUAAAAUGCGUGGAACCCUCCCACCUAGAGGCAGGAAAAGUCGUAACAAGGUUUCC